UACGAAGGGGGCUAGCGUUGCUCGGAAUGACUGGGCGUAAAGCGUGCGCAGGCGGCUUCUCAAGUCAGGGGUGAAAGCCCAGAGCUCAACUCUGGAAUUGCCUUUGAGACUGAGUGGCUUGAGUACGAGAGAGGUGAGUGGAAUUCCCAGUGUAGAGGUGAAAUUCGUAGAUAUUGGGAAGAACACCGGUGGCGAAGGCGGCUCACUGGCUCGUAACUGACGCUCAUGCACGACAGCGUGGGGAUCAAACAGG
This 253-nucleotide ribosomal RNA is filed under the name uncultured bacterium. RNAcentral describes it as "partial 16S ribosomal RNA". It matches the Rfam family "Bacterial small subunit ribosomal RNA", at positions 524 to 776 of the family's 1533-position model. The record is from RNAcentral.